UGGGGAAUUUUGCACAAUGGGGGAAACCCUGAUGCAGCGACGCCGCGUGAUUUAGAAGGCCUUCGGGUUGUAAAAAUCUUUUCUAUGGGAAGAAAAUGACAGUACCAUAGGAAUAAGGACCGGCUAAUUACGUGCCAGCAGCCGCGGUAAUACGUAAGGUCCGAGCGUUGUCCGGAAUCAUUGGGCGUAAAGGGUACGUAGGCGGGUAAGCAAGUUAGAAGUGAAAUCCUAUAGCUCAACUAUAGUAAGCUUUUAAAACUGCUCAUCUUGAGGUAUGGAAGGGAAAGUGGAAUUCCUAGUGUAGCGGUGAAAUGCGCAGAUAUGAGGAGGAAUACCGGUGGCGAAGGCGACUUUCUGGCCAUAACCUGACGCUGAGGUACGAAAGCGUGGGUAGCAAACAGG
RNAcentral lists this ribosomal RNA (402 nucleotides) under bacterium. Its description in RNAcentral is "partial 16S ribosomal RNA". It matches the Rfam family "Bacterial small subunit ribosomal RNA", at positions 355 to 776 of the family's 1533-position model. The record is from RNAcentral.